Molecule: long non-coding RNA, 460 nt
Filed under: Bos indicus x Bos taurus (hybrid cattle)
Lineage: Eukaryota; Metazoa; Chordata; Mammalia; Artiodactyla; Bovidae
Description: lncRNA (ENSBIXG00005018491.1)
Source: RNAcentral
UAUAUUCUGUGCUUCCACUGCAGGGGGUGCAGGUGGGCAAGUUCUUCAUGCCAUGAGGUGCAGCCAAUGGAAAAAAAAAAAAAGAAAAAAAUUUAAAAAUCAGCAGUAAUCACAUUUUAAAAAGAAUCAUACAGUUCAUCAGAAUAGAUUAUUAGAUGGGAGAACAGAGACCCUGAGGAAAUCACCAAAGAGAACACAACCAGAAAGCUGGAAAGCCAGAACCAAAGGCUGGCCUUGCUGUUCUUUCUGCUCCACAUCUCUGUCCUUCAAUAGGCGUAUCUUUUUCUAGAGAGGAAACAUGAUGCACUGGCAAAACUUUAGUCUACAAAGGAUCAUGAGUCCAUAAGCUGCAACUGUUGCUUUGAAAAGGCAGAAGUAAAAGAAGAGUUGAUGGAGAUACCAGACAUGAAAGGGAUGUAAGUUCUGGGCUUUCCAAUAAUAAGCCAUCCUCCUCCAGAUG